This is a long non-coding RNA of Bos indicus x Bos taurus (hybrid cattle), 456 nucleotides long. The record is from Ensembl. NCBI's taxonomy places the organism in Eukaryota, Metazoa, Chordata, Mammalia, Artiodactyla, Bovidae.
AUGAUUGUUGCUAUAUCAACAAUUAAGAGGGCAGUUUGCUGUACUGGGAAGAACAAUGAAUUCAUAACAGAAAUCUCAAUUUGUUGUCCAUUUAUUCUAGCCUGUGGCAUUGAGACCAAAUACUUGUCUGACUCAGUUUUGAUCUUUACAUUUUCUAUAAUCUCUGCCUCCUUGCAUUUAUCUCCUCAGAUCAGAGAAAACAGAUCCAGUUUUAUGGAGAGAAAAGGUAACUGUGAAAUGGUCUUCAUAUUCCCCAUGAAGAAUAUACAGAGAAUUGAACUCUUAAAUAUGCUAUUGGCAGAAGGAGACAAGUUUUAAUUAUUGGGUAAGGAUUAUUUUAAUAUGUAUGUGAAUUGCUGACAUGAUCAUCCAUCUUUCUCCAAUUCUUGAAAAUGGUUUGAUUUACUUAAUAUUCAAUUGUAAUUUGUUUAUAUCAUUAAUUUAUUUGGCAUAUUC